Molecule: small nuclear RNA, 108 nt
Organism: Condylostylus longicornis
Lineage: Eukaryota; Metazoa; Arthropoda; Insecta; Diptera; Dolichopodidae
Source: RefSeq, a predicted model, not a curated record
GAUUUUAUUAAAAUUAAAACAUGUACUAAAAUUGAAAAGAUAAAGAGAAGAUCAGAAUGACUCCUACCCAAAGAUGACACGCAAAAUCGUGAAACGUUCCUUAUUUUU